GCUGGCCGCCCCUUGUCUCUCUGCAUCCCUGACUCUGAGCGCCGGGCUCUGCACAGGAUCCCGGGCUGCACGAGGCACGCCAGUCCCGUAGCUCCUGGCCACCCACCGACCGUGGGCCUAGAAGGCUUUAUAGGAGCUGGUUUGCGGGAGUCUGGAAAGAGACUGGACAAGGGAAUGCUGGCACAGCGCAAUGCGGCUCAGCAAAGCUGCAACGAUGGAUUCUUGCAUAGAAACAAAAUCUUGUUGACAAUAUAAAACGAGGAAAUACAAGAUAGAAAAGACAAACCAGAGAGAGAGAGAGAGAGAGAGAGCGAGAGAAGGAGAACAAAAACUUCUUAUUGCUGUUUGGGAUAAGCUGAAAUCGGAGAGAGAAAAACGGAGCAAAACAAUUUUAAAAAUUAAAGUAUUUUAUACAUGUAAAAAUAAGGGGAAAUAACCAGGACGAAUCUCGAGAGAGAGGGGGGAGGGAGUUACCAACUUAAAUGUAUGUUUUUUUAAUGGGCUAAGAAGAAGGCAAAAACAGAAGGAAGAGGUAUACUUAUUUAAAGAAUUAAGAUGAAUAAAGUGCGCAGCUGGGAAGUUCACAGGUUUUGAAACUGACCUUUUCUGCGAAGUUCACUUUAAUACGAGAAAUUUGAUAAGAGAGGCGGGCCUCCUUUUACGUUGAAUCAGAUGCUUUGAGUUUAAACCCACCACGUAUGGAAGAGCAAGAAGAGGGAAGACAGUAUGAAAACGAAGGAAGGGAAAAAAAUGAUGUUAAUACAAUGCAGUGAUGCCACAGACAAUGAUUCUGAGAAAUGAUGGCAGAACUGUCCGGACUGCGACAGU
Molecule: long non-coding RNA, 828 nt
Filed under: Marmota monax (woodchuck)
Lineage: Eukaryota; Metazoa; Chordata; Mammalia; Rodentia; Sciuridae
Source: RNAcentral